Neoarius graeffei (lesser salmon catfish) is the source of this 1210-nucleotide long non-coding RNA. RefSeq lists it as uncharacterized. The record is from RefSeq and is a predicted model, not a curated record. The transcript has 3 exons. Lineage: Eukaryota; Metazoa; Chordata; Actinopteri; Siluriformes; Ariidae.
UUAGUUUUCUUACAUUUUGGAUGUCAUAAAACAAACCGGUGAUGAAACAAUGAAAUUAUUUUAUAGGUCGGCCUCGAUUGAAACUCAGUUACGUAUUUUUUCAGGUUGUCCAAUGAUGUCAAUUCAUAAGUCUGAGCUAUGUUUGAAAUGCCAUGAAAUAAAAUGUGUUGAACAUCUUCCACAAGAUGACGAUGGACGGGUACUUGGCUUGGACGCCAUCUUUGAUUGUUUCCCGUAACUUGGAAACCGGAAGUUAACCAGGAGGCAAAAACUUAUGUGAUUGAUAUCCUGACUCGAACAUCACUGAAUAUAUGACAACAUCAUCCUGAAGUUCGCGGACGACACCGCAGUGAUAGGACGCAUCACUGACAAUGACGAAACGGCCUACAGGAGGAAGGUGGCCAGUCUGGUAUCAUGGUGUGAGGACAACAACCUCACCCUCAACAUGGAAAAGAUGAAGGAGAUGAUAGUGGACAUGAAGGAGAGGAGACCUCAUCGGCCACUGUUCAUCUGGGAGCUUGAGGUGAAGAGGGUGAGCAGCUUCAAAUGCCUGGGUGUUCACAUCAGUGAGGACCUCACAUGGACACUUAACACCACACAGCUGGUUAGGAAGGCUCAACAGUGACUGUACUUUCUGAGGAGGCUGAGGAAGUUUGGUAUGUCGCCCAAGAUCCUCAGCAACUUCUACAACUGCAUGACUGAGAGCAUCCUGACCAACUGCAUCACUGUGUGGUAUGGCAGCACUACACCUAUGGACCGCAAACACCUGCAGAGGGUGGUGAAGACUGCUGAGAGGAUCACCAAAACUCCACUGCCCUCUCUGCAGAGCAUCUACCACCGCAGAGUCCACAGGAGAGCUGCCUCCAUCCUCAAAGACCCCACCCACCUCCAGCACAGACUGUUCGCACUUCUACCCUCAGGCCGGAGGUACAGAAGUGUGAAAUGUAAGACUGUCAGACUAAAGAACUCUUUCUUUUCCACCGCCAUCAGACUCCUGAACAGCUGACAUGGGUCUAUAACCAUGGAUUACCUCCCUGUAAACUGUCCCUAACUGUUUACAUCUGUUUACAUUUGUUUGCACAUUACUGCCCCUCUUGCUGCUGUUCCUUGACUGUUUACAUCUGUUUACAUUUGUUUGCACAUUCGCACAUUACUGCCCCUCUGCUGCUACAUCUGAUCAUUGCCUUACUUUUGUAUUACACUACCUAUU